AUUGAACGAGGGAGGCAGGCCUAACACAUGCAAGUCGAGCGGAUGAAGGGAGCUUGCUCCUGGAUUCAGCGGCGGACGGGUGAGUAAUGCCUAGGAAUCUGCCUGGUAGUGGGGGAUAACGUCCGGAAACGGGCGCUAAUACCGCAUACGUCCUGAGGGAGAAAGUGGGGGAUCUUCGGACCUCACGCUAUCAGAUGAGCCUAGGUCGGAUUAGCUAGUUGGUGGGGUAAAGGCCUACCAAGGCGACGAUCCGUAACUGGUCUGAGAGGAUGAUCAGUCACACUGGAACUGAGACACGGUCCAGACUCCUACGGGAGGCAGCAGUGGGGAAUAUUGGACAAUGGGCGAAAGCCUGAUCCAGCCAUGCCGCGUGUGUGAAGAAGGUCUUCUGAUUGUAAAGCACUUUAAGUUGGGAGGAAGGGCAGUAAGUUAAUACCUUGCUGUUUUGACGUUACCAACAGAAUAAGCACCGGCUAACUUCGUG
RNAcentral lists this ribosomal RNA (484 nucleotides) under uncultured bacterium. RNAcentral's name for it is "partial 16S ribosomal RNA". It matches the Rfam family "Bacterial small subunit ribosomal RNA", at positions 30 to 507 of the family's 1533-position model. The record is from RNAcentral.